Molecule: long non-coding RNA, 1686 nt
Filed under: Rattus norvegicus (Norway rat)
Lineage: Eukaryota; Metazoa; Chordata; Mammalia; Rodentia; Muridae
Description: long non-coding RNA NONRATT004915
Source: RNAcentral
AAUUCGGUGAGAUCUUGUCUCAAAUCAAAAUAAAAAGGGGGCUGUCAUGAAAAUCAGUGGCGGGGUUGGGGACUUAGCUCGGUGGCAGAGCGCUUGGCCCUGGGUUCGGUCCCCAGCUCCGAAAAGAAUUAAAAAAAAUGAUGCUCAGUGGCAGCUUACUGUCCUGUGGACCCGAUGAUGUCCAUCCCACUCCUGUAGGAAAGAGAAGUAAAAGGAAGGUCUGGUGCUAGGAAGCAAGUUUCCCAGACAAGGAUACAGGAGAGUAGGAAGAUGCUACUUAAGGUGGUACAAGUCCAGGGAAGCAGGACAUUGUCAGCCUAGAGCUGGGCGGGGCCAGGUCUCUGGUACCCCAAGAGCACUAACUAGGGAAGGACUAGCCUAGCAGAGGCUGCUUCUGGGAUUGGACCAAAGACAGCAAGCAUUCUCUAGAGCAACAAGGGCCUACUCACCGUGCAAUGCUCUGUAGACACCUUCAUAGGAUGGUUAUUUUAUUUUGGCGAAGCAGCUGGGUUUAAAUUCCAGGACCUGAUGGUUGUUACAUGGCUCCAAGCUACCUAUUCGCCAUCUCCAGGAAAUCAGACACCCUUUUCUAGUCUCCAAGUGAAACCUGGACUCACGUGCAUAGAAACAUGAUUAGGAAUUUUUUUCCCACAUCAGUUCUAGGCUAGCCAAGGCUAAUUUGAACUGGCUAAUCCAGCUGCCUGUGCCUAGCGCUAGGAUUAAAGGGAUUCACCACCACCCAGGUUGGUUAGUGGUUGGUUUUGCCUGCAUGUAUGGCUACCACAUAGGUGCCGAGAACUGGUCCUAAGUGCUGACAGUGGACUAGUAUGUGCACGAGCGCGCUCUCUCUUUCAACUCUUUUACGGAGCUGGGGACCGAACCCAGGGCCUUGCGCUUGCUAGGCAAGCGCUCUACCACUGAGCUAAAUCCCCAACCCCUCUCUUUCAACUCUUAACAGACAAGGUGGUGAGGCACAGUUAGGAUCCUAGCACUUGAUAGGCAGGUGGUCUUCUAGCCAGAGCUGGUUGUCAGCAUUUGUUGCUGGGACUGUCUUACUCUAGGGUCCUGGUAGUUUGCUCAGCUCGGCUAGUCUGAGAUCUCGUCUCAGCCCCUCGGGUGCUGGAGUUAGGCCUGUACCACAGCUGCCUAAGGAAAAUCCAGCUGGCCAAAUAGCCAGCUUUGUGCAGAAGGUAAAGUCUGGUGUCAUGAAUCUCACCUUUUAAAAGGAGUAUCAAAAUGAGAAUUUCCGCGGAAUUGCAUGGAGAUGUGACAUAGCUUCAAUGGGCAUUCCUGGCUAUGCUGCUGAGGGUUUGUAUCCUGACCAUUCCAGGUCUCUCGAGGAAUUGGCUUCCUGGUGUCCUAGCUAAUCUCCUCUGCACUGUUAACCCAGGUACUCUGUGGAUAUCCCCUUGGACAAAACUGUUGUCAACAAGGAUGUGUUCAGAGACCCAGCACUGAAACGCAAGGCCAGGCGGGAGGCCAAGGUCAAGUUUGAGGAGCGGUAAGUGUGUCCUGCUUUUGUUGAAUCCUGUCAAAGAAUUUGUUUUCCUGUUUAUUUUUUUUUCCUGUGUGUCACUUGUUUAUUUUUUCCUUUCUAGAUACAAGACAGGGAAGAACAAAUGGUUUUUCCAGAAGCUUCGCUUUUAGAUGUAUUUUUGUUUUCGUCAUUAAAAAAAUAAAAAAUAA